AUACGUAGGGUGCAAGCGUUAAUCGGAAUUACUGGGCGUAAAGCGUGCGCAGGCGGUUUUGUCAAACAGAGGGGGAAUCCCCGGGCUCCACCUGGGAACUGCCUUUUUUACUUCAAGGCUAGAGUACGGGAGCGGGGGAGUGGAUUUCUCGUGUAGCCGGGAAAGGCGUAGAUAAGCGGAGGAACACCGAUGGCGAAGGCAAUCCCCUGGGGCUGGAAUGAGGCGCAGGCACGAAAGCGUGGGGAGCAAAAAGGAUUAGAUACCCUGGUAGUCCACGCCCUAAACGAGGUAAACGGGUGGGUGGGGCUUCAUUGACUCAGUAACGAAGCUAACGCGUGAAGUGGACCGCCUGGGGAGUACGGCCGCAAGGUUGAAACUCAAAGGAAUUGACGGGG
RNAcentral lists this ribosomal RNA (395 nucleotides) under uncultured bacterium. RNAcentral describes it as "partial 16S ribosomal RNA". It matches the Rfam family "Bacterial small subunit ribosomal RNA", at positions 523 to 918 of the family's 1533-position model. The record is from RNAcentral.